This is a long non-coding RNA of Otolemur garnettii (small-eared galago), 1248 nucleotides long. RefSeq lists it as uncharacterized. The record is from RefSeq and is a predicted model, not a curated record. The transcript has 3 exons. NCBI's taxonomy places the organism in Eukaryota, Metazoa, Chordata, Mammalia, Primates, Galagidae.
GUCUUGGUAGCAGACCACAGCAUCCACUACAGUAAUGUAUGACUCUAUCCCAGAUGUAUAACCCGUCAGGGAAAACAAAUACUUUUAUCAGUCCAUCAGAUCAUCCUAGUCAAAGAAUGAAAGUUUUUCUUGGAAAGCAUGAGAACUAUCAAGAUGUCAUCACUUGGUCAGCAAAGCAGUAAGAUUGUAAAGUAGGGCAGAAGAUACACGUGAACGGAGCCACCUCCCUGCAGUCUGUGCUCCCCACCACAGCUAUAUGCUGCUCCUGAGGCAGAGUAGGAAUCUGAUCCUGUGGACGUAAAUCAGACCACUGCCUUCCUACAACAGACCUAGGCUCACAUUUAUGCAGAGGCUGGAGCACCAUGAAGAUGAGGAAGCCCUCAGGCCGUUUACUACCCAUGGAAGGUGAGGAGGAGUUUGUCAGAUGGAAGGUGGUUUGUGACAUUCCUAACCAUGGAGUAAUAAUAAUGUGAGAAGAUAUUAAGACAUCACUUGUUUAGAAAACUCCAAGAAUUUCAACGUGCCCACGAAUGAACAAAAGAGAACCCCCCUUCUCCGCGAUGUCAAGGGCCAAGGAAGAAAAGUUCAAUGAAAAGAAAAGAAGGUAAGUGGAGGAAACUACUUUGAAUUUAGCCUCUUUCAUAGAUAACAGGAGUUUGGAAACCAAGCUUUUAAACUUAAAUUCGGUUAGAAGAAAUUACCCUCCAAGGGGUUAAUUGGCCCACAAAGCGUAUACCAUGACUGGGGUUGGGAUAAGUGGCCCUCCCGUAUCCCCAUUUUCCUCCUGUAGGAGAGCAGUGUUUGAGGCAUUGCUAUAUUUAUGCGAAAUGGAGCGGUUUGCCAGGGGGACCACCCAGUGACCAGGUCUUAUUUGAGAUGCUUUCAUUGCCAGUCAGCAGACUCCCUACACCAUGAUAAGAGUCCAUCAUUCAGCAGCUAUGGUGUUCUCUUCCAAAGCUCUGGAGCUUAACAAGGACCACAUUCUCUCCUGUCUGGCUUUAAUAUUCUAGAUUCUAAGUAGCAUUUCCUCUGGUUAUACCUUUUCUUGCAGGAGUGAGACCCAGCUCUGCUGUUUCUCUUUUCCUUUUGCAACUGAUACCUGUGUGCUUGUGAUGCUUUAACUCACGGCUUUGAUCCAUUCCUUUCUACCUCUAAAACUCACAGACCCCUCUAAACAUGGGAGCACUUGAGUGCCCCCGACAUGAUGGUGGGGGCAUCCUUGAAAGUCAUCCAGCUCCCCUCUAAGUA